Molecule: ribosomal RNA, 429 nt
Filed under: Verrucomicrobiota bacterium
Lineage: Bacteria; Pseudomonadati; Verrucomicrobiota
Description: Verrucomicrobia bacterium partial 16S ribosomal RNA
Rfam family: Bacterial small subunit ribosomal RNA
Source: RNAcentral
UAGGGAAUUUUCGGCAAUGGGGGGAACCCUGACCGAGCAACGCCGCGUGAGUGAAGAAGGUUUUCGGAUCGUAAAGCUCUGUUGUUAAGGAAGAACGAGUGUGAGUAUGGAAAGUUCAUGCUGUGACGGUACUUAACCAGAAAGGGACGGCUAACUACGUGCCAGCAGCCGCGGUAAUACGUAGGUCCCGAGCGUUGUCCGGAUUUAUUGGGCGUAAAGCGAGCGCAGGCGGUUAGAAAAGUCUGAAGUGAAAGGCAGUGGCUCAACCAUUGUAGGCUUUGGAAACUGUUUAACUUGAGUGCAGAAGGGGAGGGUGGAAUUCCAUGUGUAGCGGUGAAAUGCGUAGAUAUAUGGAGGAACACCGGUGGCGAAAGCGGCUCUCUGGGCUGUAACUGACGCUGAGGGUCGAAAGCGUGGGGAGCGAACAGG